RNAcentral lists this ribosomal RNA (454 nucleotides) under uncultured bacterium. Its description in RNAcentral is "bacterial SSU rRNA". It matches the Rfam family "Bacterial small subunit ribosomal RNA", at positions 28 to 478 of the family's 1533-position model. The record is from RNAcentral.
GAUGAACGCUGGCGGCGUGCCUAACACAUGCAAGUCGAACGGAGUCGUUUUGGAAAUCUCUUCGGAGAUGGAAUUCUCGACUUAGUGGCGGACGGGUGAGUAACGCGUGAGCAAUCUGCCUUUAAGAGGGGGAUAACAGUCGGAAACGGCUGCUAAUACCGCAUAAAGCAUUAAAUUCGCAUGUUUUUGAUGCCAAAGGAGCAAUCCGCUUUUAGAUGAGCUCGCGUCUGAUUAGCUGGUUGGCGGGGUAACGGCCCACCAAGGCGACGAUCAGUAGCCGGACUGAGAGGUUGAACGGCCACAUUGGGACUGAGACACGGCCCAGACUCCUACGGGAGGCAGCAGUGGGGAAUAUUGCGCAAUGGGGGAAACCCUGACGCAGCAACGCCGCGUGAUUGAAGAAGGCCUUCGGGUUGUAAAGAUCUUUAAUCAGGGACGAAACAAAUGACGGUAC